CUUGUUCAUUAUAAAACAAUAAAGUCUCCUGCAUAUACCUAUUAAUCUUUUUUUUUAUAUCAGUUUGAGGUACCAAAUCAAAUCAACAAGGAGUGACCUUUUCUAACAUCUUUUUUUAAAAUGCAUUCUUAGUAUCGAGAUGGAAAGACCUUCAAUUGUUCCCUGAAGAAUUGGUUUUUCAUUUUAUCAGUCAUUUUUAGAGUCUUU
This 207-nucleotide long non-coding RNA is filed under the name Mytilus galloprovincialis (Mediterranean mussel). The record is from RNAcentral. Lineage: Eukaryota; Metazoa; Mollusca; Bivalvia; Mytilida; Mytilidae.